GCAUAGUAAUGGAUUUAUGGUGUGUCCUCUGUGGGCACCUCAAGCAGGCCCAUGCCAGAGAAAGCUGCAGCUUUAAACUAUUGUCCAGUAUCCUUACCUGUGGGCUGUGAGCACUGAAGAGGGUUGUGAGGUG
Dama dama (fallow deer) is the source of this 133-nucleotide small nucleolar RNA. RefSeq annotates it as small nucleolar RNA SNORA42/SNORA80 family. The transcript has a single exon. Lineage: Eukaryota; Metazoa; Chordata; Mammalia; Artiodactyla; Cervidae. The record is from RefSeq and is a predicted model, not a curated record.